CACACACACCCAUGUUUCUGUCAGGAAGCCAGUUGGCUGCAGGGCCAAACAAGACAUAGCUGAAUUUACACAAACUCUCCUGGGCCAAGGAAACGGGAAACAACACUCUGCUGUUGCCUGGCCCCUGCGGUUCCCCUUUCUCUUUCAACUGUGAAUGUAGCUUUUCUUCCCCUGCUUCCUCAACUGAUUCACGACUAGGGCAUCAGUGUGCUCUGGAAACAUUCCGCCCCAGAUCUGGAUCUGUCUCCUGACUCCCGGGCUCCUCUUGCCCUGACAGCCUUGCUUGGCACGGGUAUAUGCAGACUGCUUGUCUCAGGAUAUUAACAGGGUGGAUAGAAGCAGGGUGGGGUUGGCGAGUGUGCCAAGAAGCCUGGCCUGGCUGGAGGAAUGAGUGUGCUGCCCUGCAGGAAAGGGAGGCUCUGCUGCAGGGCCUGCUGGGCUCCAUGGGAGGAGCAGAGAUGUGGGGUACAGAUAGGAGGUGGGCAGGAGACAUUCUGGAGACCAGAAGCAAGGCUCUAAGAGAUUCUUUAGACCAAAAGGAAAGGGUAUGUGUAUGGAGGGCAUCUUUGGUGUCUGCUUCCUAUGCCACUGUGUGCCGCUGCUAAGAAGAGCAAGGCCUAGGAGGAUGCAGAGAGUGGCUGGGCAACCCUCAGCAUCUGGACAGCUUCCAGUUAGAGAUGGGGCUGAGGGGGUGGCAAGCUCCUGGCUCCAGCCGUCUUUAUUGCCUGUGCUUUGUGGUGCUUUAAGCCAACUCCUGUGUGCUGCCGCGAGGUCUGCCUCUCUGGGACCUUCGCCAUGAGGGUGUUGAGAGCUGCCCAGACACGCAGCCAUCGUUGCCAGCCCCCUGUAAACGUGGGCCACAGGCCUGGAGUGGGAAAGGAGGCCCACAGGAGCACUUGCUCCAAGCCUUCACAACUGCCUGUCUUCCAGGUCUUCUAUUGCCUUGCACUGAGCGGGAAAGAGCCAGGCAGCACAUGCCGUUUUGUUCAGGCGGAGCAGGUUGGCCUCAGCUGCUUUGGAGGGCUGAAAAUUUAAGGGCAGCCUAGUCAACUUAGUAAGACCCUGUCUCAAAAGUCUCAAAAUAAAUAAAAAAGAAAAAGAACCCUGAUCGUGGUGGGCACGCCUUUAACCCCAGCACUCGGGAGGCAGAGGCAGGUUGAUUUCUGGCCAGCCUGCUCUACAGAGUGAGUUCUAGGCCAGACAGGUUCCUAAGGUUCAAAGAUGAUUUGUUCAUUUUUCUUUGUGUCUCUGUUUCUUUGGUCUCAUUAUGUAGCUCAGGCUAGCCUCAUAGUCACCAUCCUCCUGCUUUUCCCACCCCCACUCCACGUGCUGGGAUUUCAGGUGUGCACCACCACGCCUGCCUGGCUUUGUCCCUGUUUUAAAUCACUGUUCACGGUUCACCGUUGCACCGUGAAAUGUUCCCACACUGAGAAGGUAACUUACUCUAACGGGACAGGCUGAUGCUCUGCAUCGGAACAACCGUGUUCCCCCCUCGUCAGCUCCUGGUUCUGAGCAGCUGUUUUCUGUGGGGCCUGUGUGAUCGUGAGUUCUCUGCUUCCUCAGAGCCACACUGCUGAGCUGGUGCCUGCAUCUGUCUGUUCAGGCUAUGACUCACCAACAGCUGUUAGCCUAGGGCCCUUGGCCUCUUUUCCACGCUUUGGUUUAGAGCUUUGACUUUGCAAGGGGCAAUUGUUCCCUCUGCCCUGUCCCAAUUAUAAGCACGUGACCUUGAAACUCAAAAGCUGGAGACCCAGAUAUCUCCCCUUUCCCAAGGAAAAUGCAUUUCCAGACUGAGGAUGAAAGAGGCCGUUCCUAGAAACAGGACGGGACACGCCUGCAGUCCUGCGGGUGGAGGCAGAAGGAUGCGGAAUUCAAGGACAUCCCAACUACAUAUCAAAUCGGAAAGCAGCUGGGUUGUGUGAUACUCUGUCUCAAAACAGCAACAAAAAAGAUCUCAUAUACACCUGGCAAUGGUAGUGCACGCCUGUAAUCCCAGCACUCAGAAGGCAGAGGCAGAUGGAGCUCUGAGUUUGAGGCCAGCCUGAUCUACAGAACAAGUUCCAGGACAGGCACGGCUACACAGAGAAAAAAAAGAAAGAAAGAAAAAUCUCAUUUAUAAGACUUGGUGUUUAACCUCCUUUGAAAGUCCCUGGAGAAAUGCCAGUUCAUUUGCUCAUAUUAAAUAAGUUUUUGCUCAUGA
Molecule: long non-coding RNA, 2200 nt
Organism: Mesocricetus auratus (golden hamster)
Lineage: Eukaryota; Metazoa; Chordata; Mammalia; Rodentia; Cricetidae
Exons: 2
Source: RefSeq, a predicted model, not a curated record